AUGAUGCAGAGGAAGAAACAUACUGUAUAUCCAUUGGUUUAUCGACUUUUGAAGCUAAUACUAGUAUUUCCUAUUGCCACUGCUACAUUUGAGAGAUCUUUUUCAGCUAUGAGAAUUGUGAAGCCAUAUUUGUGCACUCGUCUUGGUGAUGACGCCUUGAUGCACAACCUUAUUUGUUAUGUGGAGAACAGCUAA
Molecule: ribosomal RNA, 195 nt
Filed under: Triticum aestivum (bread wheat)
Lineage: Eukaryota; Viridiplantae; Streptophyta; Magnoliopsida; Poales; Poaceae
Description: partial small subunit ribosomal RNA
Source: RNAcentral